RNAcentral lists this ribosomal RNA (505 nucleotides) under uncultured bacterium. Its description in RNAcentral is "bacterial SSU rRNA". It matches the Rfam family "Bacterial small subunit ribosomal RNA", at positions 285 to 807 of the family's 1533-position model. The record is from RNAcentral.
AGCCGGACUGAGAGGUUGAACGGCCACAUUGGGACUGAGACACGGCCCAGACUCCUACGGGAGGCAGCAGUGGGGGAUAUUGCACAAUGGGGGAAACCCUGAUGCAGCGACGCCGCGUGUGGGAAGACGGUCUUCUGGAUUGUAAACCACUGUCCCCAGGGACGAAAAUGACGGUACCUGGGGAGGAAGCUCCGGCUAACUACGUGCCAGCAGCCGCGGUAAUACGUAGGGAGCAAGCGUUGUCCGGAAUUACUGGGUGUAAAGGGAGCGUAGGCGGGGAUGCAAGUUGGGUGUCAAAACUAUCGGCUCAACCGAUAGUCGCACUCAAAACUGCAGCUCUUGAGUGAAGUAGAGGCAGGCGGAAUUCCUAGUGUAGCGGUGAAAUGCGUAGAUAUUAGGAGGAACACCAGUGGCGAAGGCGGCCUGCUGGGCUUUUACUGACGCUGAGGCUCGAAAGUGUGGGGAGCAAACAGGAUUAGAUACCCUGGUAGUCCACACCGUAAAC